AAGAGUCUUACAGAUUUUCCUGCCCAGACUUUGAAUCAUGAUCCUCACAUCUUAGCCUUCUGAGCCAAGAUUACAGACAUGAGCCACAGAUGAUUGGUCUUUGUGUUAUUCUUUACCUGAAAUUACUUCUUUUAAAUGGAAGAUUUUUCUUUUUUGAAACUAUUUUCUUAGUUAUGAAAUGCAGAUGAGCCCACAUCACCCAGAAAUAACAAUGAUUGACAUUUUGGAGUAUAUCCUUCUGCUUGAUUUUUUUUCAAUCUAUGUAUUUUUGCCAUAUGUGGGGUAUGAUCUUUUUUUUUUUUUUAAUUUGAGUUUCAUUUAAGGUCCCCCAGUUCUCUUGACUGUCUUGGACAUACCUACCUUUUUCUUUACCCACACUGAGAAUAGCCCACUAUCUCUCACAUCAUCUUGCUGUUGCUGGAUACUCACUUUAUAAUAAACAACGCUGCACACUUUUCCCAUGUUGUCAGUCAAACAGAUGCGUGCUCUGCGGACUGCUUGCUGAGGGAAUGGCUUCAGGAGUGGCAGGCGAUGUCCUUGCAGCCCUCUAGCCCUUGGAUACUUGCUGUCUUGAUGGCUGCAGCCUGGGCCUGCGCAGGAUAACACUCAGUGCUGUGUGGGGAGCAUUUGAAUUCGGGGGUCAUAGUCCUCUUUGGGGAAAGGAUACACCAAAUUCUCUUUUCCUGUUCCUUUUUCUUACCAAGCCCCUGAGGGAACCUUUGGAUUUUCACAGAAAAAAAAAAAAUUAGAAAGGCUUUCCUCUCACUGUGUUUCUCAUAUCCGCUUCAUUCUUCCUAUUCCCCAUUUUACCCACAAAACUCCUGGGAGAAUAGUUCGCUUUUAACUAGAGGCUUGAUCUGUAUUUUUCCCACCUUGGAAUCAAGAAGAAAUAGAAUCUUUAAGAAGUAGGACUUUCCCUCCAGUUAAGCCACCCUUGGGAAGGGGCUUCUUGUCUUUGGAUUCCUCCUUUGGAGCCUGUGAUGAAGCGGGGGGAAACAAACACUGAGAUUUGGGGAUGAAAACUUAAUGUGGGAAUUGUCACUCAAGAGGGAGGCUUGACCACAGCAGUUUAGAAUUAAAAUUUUUUAACUUGCACGCCAAUUUUCAGAUAGGGCUUAAGCAACAUUCUAUUGCUGAGUUCCACAUCUGCUUAUUUCUUUUAAUUGCACAACUCACCAGUUGGGAAGUUCGGCUGUAGAGAAAUCCCAUGUGACACCGUGCACAGAGGAGCCGAGCCUUGGAAACAUGUGAGUCAUGUAAAGUCUGAUGUGACACAGCACACGAUUGUGACUACCAGGUGCUGCUGCUCCAUGAAACGUUUUGGUUUCAUUUUGCGAAAUGCUGUUUUACACUAUUGAAACCGUGAGGUGAGAAGGACCAUAACUAUCUUAAAGAAGCAUAUUACUUGCACCUAAAUGUGUCUGGGAUUUUUUUUUCUUAAAAUGUUCACUUAGUUCCCAAUUAAUCAAAAAAUGAAGGUUCCAGAAAGCCUUUCUUCUGAUAGGCUUGACAAUGUCUGGAGUUGCCUUUAGAGAACUUAUUUUAUAAACAUAUGCAUAUGCAUAAUAUAUUCUGCCCAAUACUCCCACUUUCAAAUCUGCACCCUACCACAGGUGCAUCCUGGGGAGUCACAGAAAGAAAAUCUUCACUCUGAAAAUUCUUUCCUUGAGCCCACUGUGUCCUCCACAUCAGAAAGAAAACUGUAGCCUGAACUGGGCCCCCCCCCCCCGGGAGUGGUGGGGUAGGAAGGACACCAACUCACUCCAGAAUAUAGCAGCAGUAAACAAAGGAAAAAGGCUCACAGUUAAUUCAGAAACAAAAUUGAGGCUUGCUGGGGCUUCCUGUUGUAGUGGUUUGCCUCCAUUUCUCCAAUACAAGGACUUUCUUCCCUUUUUGUUGGAAGCUCUGAUGGCAAGGUUGACCACUUACAAAGUUUUGUUGCCUCCUUACUUUCAUUGCUCAGUUGUUAUUUCUCCUCAUCUUUACUCCAUAAAAAAUGCUUCUGCAACUACUGCAUUUGGAAUUGACUCUGUGGAGUAGCAGCAUUUUCCUUGCCUAUGGCAAGACCACACCAAGUUCAAGGCAAGGAAGGUAGCCUGGUCCUACAGAGACCCUCUGGGUGACUCCUCUCUUUUGAGAUCCUGAUUGUCUUUUCUUUUUUUUUUUUUUUU
Long non-coding RNA from Perognathus longimembris pacificus (Pacific pocket mouse), 2171 nucleotides. RefSeq lists it as uncharacterized. The transcript has 2 exons. Lineage: Eukaryota; Metazoa; Chordata; Mammalia; Rodentia; Heteromyidae. The record is from RefSeq and is a predicted model, not a curated record.